Tarenaya hassleriana is the source of this 957-nucleotide long non-coding RNA. RefSeq lists it as uncharacterized. The record is from RefSeq and is a predicted model, not a curated record. Lineage: Eukaryota; Viridiplantae; Streptophyta; Magnoliopsida; Brassicales; Cleomaceae. The transcript has 2 exons.
ACUCUGUAUUGGAUAUAAAUUACAUGUGUGAUUAGUCAAUGUAAAUGUGGUUUAUAUGUUAUAUUUACCUAUUUAACAUCAUAUACCAUAUGUUCCAUGAAAUUAAUAACUCUUCAAUUGGUUUGUACGUGUGUUUUAUCCGUCACGGAUCCAUACACCGGACUACUAAAUGGGCCUAAAUAUAAAGGCCCAUUAAAUGAUGGGCUUUAGUAUGUAUGGGCUUUAGUAGUUUUAUGUUUGAGUUUUGCAGAUAAAACGACGUCGUACUGUUUGGACAAUGGCGAUUCCGGAGAGAACGAGAUUUACCCACAAGAUUGAGAAGACCACAAGAUCUUCGAUUUGAGUGAUAAUGGUGAAAAGCCCAAACCUUGGAGAAAAUUUCGGUUUUGGAGAUCUAAAUUCUUCAGCAGAAUCAUUGUGGAAGAUUGUUGAACAUCAUGAUCCGGCCAAAGAAUUUUAGGGUUCCAACUUGUUUCAUGCGUUCGUGAUUGGAGCACUGUUCGAACAGAAAACGUAUCUCUGAUACGGAAUCUCCUUUUGAUCAUAUGCUGCUGUUUCUGGGCUUUCCUCAAUUUGGGCAAAGAAAAAAUCUUUCCUUUUGUCUCUCUGAGUUAAAUGUUACAGUGUGUGCCUUUGAUGGUGUGCCCGUCUCACUGUACUGCAGCCGCUAAUGUUCCUAAAAGUUCUCGAUCUCAUCCUUCUCUCUCUCGAAUGUGAUCCACUUGGGAUUUGUGUGCGUUGUAGUGGUUUUGAUCUCAUUUUAUCACAUGUCUUAACUCUCAGAUCAAGUGCUUGUCUGCGUUUCCUUUUCUGGCUGUCUUAAAAUGAGUUUCAGAUCAUGUGACGCUUUCUGACACUCUGCCCCUUGAUUUUAUUAUCAUUCUUCCCACUUUCUGACCUGACUUUGGCUACAACUGACCUGACUUUGGCUACAACUGCUAUGAAAAACACUAAAGA